ACGAAAGGUCGCAAGGCCUAGACCCUUCAAACCUGUGGAAGUGAGACGUGCUUCGGCAGAGUCGCUUUGACCUGCCGCAUUUAUGCUGUCUGGUGUUUGUGUCUGAAUUUCGAAAAGAAUCA
RNAcentral lists this unclassified non-coding RNA (122 nucleotides) under uncultured Archaeorhizomyces. RNAcentral's name for it is "sequence contains ITS1". The record is from RNAcentral. Lineage: Eukaryota; Fungi; Ascomycota; Archaeorhizomycetes; Archaeorhizomycetales; Archaeorhizomycetaceae.